GCCAGGCAUGGUGGCGCACGCCUGUAAUCCAGUGACUUGGGAGGUUGAGGCAGGAGGUUUGUGAGUUCAAAGCCAACCUCUG
RNAcentral lists this small RNA (82 nucleotides) under Marmota monax (woodchuck). Lineage: Eukaryota; Metazoa; Chordata; Mammalia; Rodentia; Sciuridae. The record is from RNAcentral.